Molecule: transfer RNA, 93 nt
Filed under: Pseudomonadota bacterium
Lineage: Bacteria; Pseudomonadati; Pseudomonadota
Also listed under: 3 other names
Description: tRNA-Ser
Rfam family: tRNA
About the family: Transfer RNA (tRNA) molecules are approximately 80 nucleotides in length. Their secondary structure includes four short double-helical elements and three loops (D, anti-codon, and T loops). Further hydrogen bonds mediate the characteristic L-shaped molecular structure. tRNAs have two regions of fundamental functional importance: the anti-codon, which is responsible for specific mRNA codon recognition, and the 3' end, to which the tRNAs corresponding amino acid is attached (by aminoacyl-tRNA synthetases). tRNAs cope with the degeneracy of the genetic code in two manners: having more than one tRNA (with a specific anti-codon) for a particular amino acid; and 'wobble' base-pairing, i.e. permitting non-standard base-pairing at the 3rd anti-codon position.
Source: RNAcentral
GGAGAGGUGGCCGAGUGGCUGAAGGCGCUCCCCUGCUAAGGGAGUAAGGGGUUGAUAGCCCCUUCGAGGGUUCGAAUCCCUCUCUCUCCGCCA